ACGGGGAGGAGCCCAGAGCCUGAAUCAGUGUGUGUGUUAGUGGAAGCGUCUGGAAAGGCGUGCGAUACAGGGUGACAGCCCCGUACACAAAAAUGCACAUAUUGUGAGCUCGAUGAGUAGGGCGGGACACGUGGUAUCCUGUCUGAAUAUGGGGGGACCAUCCUCCAAGGCUAAAUACUCCUGACUGACCGAUAGUGAACCAGUACCGUGAGGGAAAGGCGAAAAGAACCCCGGCGAGGGGAGUGAAAAAGAACCUGAAACCGUGUACGUACAAGCAGUGGGAGCCUCUUAAUGGGGUGACUGCGUACCUUUUGUAUAAUGGGUCAGCGACUUAUAUUCUGUAGCAAGGUUAACCGAAUAGGGGAGCCGAAGGGAAACCGAGUCUUAACUGGGCGUUAAGUUGCAGGGUAUAGACCCGAAACCCGGUGAUCUAGCCAUGGGCAGGUUGAAGGUUGGGUAACACUAACUGGAGGACCGAACCGACUAAUGUUGAAAAAUUAGCGGAUGACUUGUGGCUGGGGGUGAAAGGCCAAUCAAACCGGGAGAUAGCUGGUUCUCCCCGAAAGCUAUUUAGGUAGCGCCUCGUGAAUUCAUCUCCGGGGGUAGAGCACUGUUUCGGCAAGGGGGUCAUCCCGACUUACCAACCCGAUGCAAACUGCGAAUACCGGAGAAUGUUAUCACGGGAGACACACGGCGGGUGCUAACGUCCGUCGUGAAGAGGGAAACAACCCAGACCGCCAGCUAAGGUCCCAAAGUCAUGGUUAAGUGGGAAACGAUGUGGGAAGGCCCAGACAGCCAGGAUGUUGGCUUAGAAGCAGCCAUCAUUUAAAGAAAGCGUAAUAGCUCACUGGUCGAGUCGGCCUGCGCGGAAGAUGUAACGGGGCUAAACCAUGCACCGAAGCUGCGGCAGCGACACUAUGUGUUGUUGGGUAGGGGAGCGUUCUGUAAGCCUGUGAAGGUGGCCUGUGAGGGUUGCUGGAGGUAUCAGAAGUGCGAAUGCUGACAUAAGUAACGAUAAAGCGGGUGAAAAGCCCGCUCGCCGGAAGACCAAGGGUUCCUGUCCAACGUUAAUCGGGGCAGGGUGAGUCGACCCCUAAGGCGAGGCCGAAAGGCGUAGUCGAUGGGAAACAGGUUAAUAUUCCUGUACUUGGUGUUACUGCGAAGGGGGGACGGAGAAGGCUAUGUUGGCCGGGCGACGGUUGUCCCGGUUUAAGCGUGUAGGCUGGUUUUCCAGGCAAAUCCGGAAAACCAAGGCUGAGGCGUGAUGACGAGGCACUACGGUGCUGAAGCGACAAAUGCCCUGCUUCCAGGAAAAGCCUCUAAGCAUCAGGUAACAUCAAAUCGUACCCCAAACCGACACAGGUGGUCAGGUAGAGAAUACCAAGGCGCUUGAGAGAACUCGGGUGAAGGAACUAGGCAAAAUGGUGCCGUAACUUCGGGAGAAGGCACGCUGAUAUGUAGGUGAAGCGACUUGCUCGUGGAGCUGAAAUCAGUCGAAGAUACCAGCUGGCUGCAACUGUUUAUUAAAAACACAGCACUGUGCAAACACGAAAGUGGACGUAUACGGUGUGACGCCUGCCCGGUGCCGGAAG
RNAcentral lists this ribosomal RNA (1592 nucleotides) under Escherichia coli. RNAcentral describes it as "partial 23S ribosomal RNA". It matches the Rfam family "Bacterial large subunit ribosomal RNA", at positions 292 to 1875 of the family's 2925-position model. The record is from RNAcentral. Lineage: Bacteria; Pseudomonadati; Pseudomonadota; Gammaproteobacteria; Enterobacterales; Enterobacteriaceae.